UUACUUUGUCCCACAUUGGAUGUUUAGAAAACCUACCUCCCUUCCCUUCUCCUAUAUAAGAAACUCCAUCCUUUCUCUUUAUUCUCAUCAAGUCAAAGUAUUUCUUUGCGUGUGACGAGUUGUUGUUGAAUUAUUCGACGACCAGUCACUAGUGAAUUUUCCGGUGGGAUUUCCGGGUGAGCUUCCGGCGAGAUUUCUGGACGAGCUUCCGGUGAGAUUUCUAGACGAGCUUCCGGCGGGUUUUCUAUUGACCUCAGCUGACCGCAUCUUCCGUUGUUCAUUUCAGCCUGUGGCUAAGGUGAGACCGACGAGCAUGAGUGAUUACUAUCGGAUUGGUGCUUUGGGAGUUUUAUUUCUUUCUUUUUCAAACUUGCGGAUUUUAUGCUUUUAUCGAUAUUCUCGAGAUUUAUUAUGUUAUUUGGAUUUAUGGCUAUUUAUUGGAUUUACGACUUUGGAGUUGACUUUUGAGAAGUAAUAAAUGGAGAUUUUAGAAUUUUAUUUGUUUAUUUUAUUUUGGAAAAUACGGG
Molecule: long non-coding RNA, 527 nt
Organism: Brassica napus (rape)
Lineage: Eukaryota; Viridiplantae; Streptophyta; Magnoliopsida; Brassicales; Brassicaceae
Exons: 3
Source: RefSeq, a predicted model, not a curated record